CCGAGUUUACAACUCCCAAACCCAUGUGAAUCUACCUAUGUUGCCUCGGUGGGAGCCUACCCUGUACCUACCCUAUAACGGGCUGGCUACUGGGCAUGCCCCGCCGGUGGACCACUAAACUCUUGUUAUUUUAUGUAAUCUGAGAGUCUUAUUUUAAAUAAGUCA
This 165-nucleotide unclassified non-coding RNA is filed under the name uncultured Xylariales. RNAcentral's name for it is "sequence contains ITS1". Lineage: Eukaryota; Fungi; Ascomycota; Sordariomycetes; Xylariales. The record is from RNAcentral.